RNAcentral lists this long non-coding RNA (558 nucleotides) under Homo sapiens (human). Its description in RNAcentral is "HSALNT0376898". The record is from RNAcentral. Lineage: Eukaryota; Metazoa; Chordata; Mammalia; Primates; Hominidae.
CGCUCUAGGCUACCGGGCCGUCCCCGCCGAGCUGCGGCUGUCCUCACUCAUCCUCAGCGAGAAGCAGGUCCUGCCGACUGAGAAGAUGAAGGACGAAACCUGCCCCGCUGAGUGCGGGAGUUCGUCGCAUGCGCAUGUCGUGGAACCUACUCUCCACGAGUUUUUAUUGUUGUUGCUUUUGUACCCCCUCGGGAUCCCUAGCGGAGGCAGUGACUCUCUUUCCCCCCAAGACGUUGUUCCCUGUUUGAAGGUGUUCUUCCUAAUGUUUCCUAGGCUGCUGAAUUCAGCUCUCUAAAAAAUGCGGAAUGCUAACCAUGACUCCCAGGACUGCUUUGGAUGCUGUGUGGAGAGUAGACAAUGGAGCUAAGGGCAAAAGGGAGAUCAGUCAGAAGUUAUUGCUGGCUUGGACCCAGGCAAUAAUAGGUGGAGAGGUAAGUGGACAUAUUUUAGACAUAUUUUAAAGAAAGCCAACCAAAUUUGCUGACAUUGAAUAUGGAGUGUGGGAGUAUCAAUCACUGCCAUGGGUAUGAAAAUCUUAAUAAACAGAAUUGGAACUCA